RNAcentral lists this ribosomal RNA (440 nucleotides) under uncultured bacterium. RNAcentral's name for it is "partial 16S ribosomal RNA". It matches the Rfam family "Bacterial small subunit ribosomal RNA", at positions 338 to 795 of the family's 1533-position model. The record is from RNAcentral.
CCUACGGGUGGCAGCAGUAGGGAAUAUUGCUCAAUGGGGGAAACCCUGAAGCAGCAACGCCGCGUGGAGGAUGAAGGUUUUCGGAUUGUAAACCUCUUUUGUUAGAGAAGUUAAUGACGGUACCUAACGAAUAAGCACCGUCUAACUCCGUGCCAGCAGCCGCGGCAAUACGGAGGAUGCAAGCGUUACACGGAAUCACUGGGCGUAAAGAGCGCGUAGGGGGAUUAGCAAGUCAGAUGUGAAAUCCUAUGGCUUAACCGUAGAACUGCAUUUGAAACUGUUAUUCUAGAGUAUGGGAGAGGUAGGUGGAAUUCUUGGUGUAGGGGUAAAAUCCGUAGAGAUCACGAGGAAUACUCAUUGCGAAGGCGACCUGCUAGAACAUAACUGACGCUGAUGCGCGAAAGCGUGGGGAGCAAACAGGAUUAGAUACCCGGGUAGUC